CCGCGCCAGGCGCCGCAAGCAGGCCGCCGCCGACUCUAGUUUUAAGGACCGGACGAACCAAAGAGAUCUGGAAGGCAGCGGCAGCGCGGAGCCCGCGGAAAGACUGACGGCGGAGGCGGCGGCGGCCGCGGCGGAGGCGACGACGGUCCGCCCGCAAUGACUCACGGCACCCCUGUGGCUCGCCGCGGCCAGCGUUCUCCACUCGACUCGCGACACCCUGCGUGCUCACACUCUCUCCACACACAGACUCUUUUAUAAAUAGAUUUACAAGAGAAACUGUGCUGUAGCGAAGAUCGAAGAAAGGAACGAAAUACAUGAAAGACGUCAAUGUUUACUAUUGUGGUAUCACGUUUCACUCAAGAGCAAGACGGAACUACUCAGGGACAUUGUAACGAUAGAAAUGAAACGUGCGGAUGACAAAGACCAUACGCGAGGCAUUUUUGUGUUGGAGUAGGUCAAAAUACUUUUGCCAGAGACCGAGUUUUAAAUUGUGGAAAGCAAUUAACAUCCAGAGGAUCAACGACAAAUAUUUCCUAGAAGAUUAACAAAAUAUUUGGAGCUAAUGUUCCUGGGCCGUAGGUGCAUCAUAAAAAAAUAUAAUAAAAGAGAGAGAGAGAGAGAGACAGUGCCAUAAUUGCUUCUGCAGUAACGGCUUUUCCACGUCUCAUAAGAGACGCCCAAAGCGAAAAAGCUCAUUGUAUGGGUUUCAGUUUCCCUGUUGAUUUUGUCAUGCAGUAUGUAAUUAUUUUUAGGAUAUCAAAUACCUUAAAAUUAUGGCAAACGAAAAUAUCAAUUAAAUUCGUUCAGCAUAAUUAUUUGUACAUACAAUAUUGUAAUAAUGAGCAUGGAAAAAUCAUUUGAGUGUGCCGUAGAAAAAACAGACAACUAACUUUUAUCUAAUAGGUGUUAAAACACCUUGCUUACAGUAACAGCUGUGUCGGUGGAAGGGGCGUAUCUUCUGCAAUUUUUCUGAAAACUAAUUAUGACACAAUGGCACUAGAAUAACAAAUAUUUUUGUCAUGUAUGUUCGUGAGUAUUGUAUGAAGAACAGUAAACAUAUUUAAGAAUUUAUCACACUAUGAAAUUAAGGUGUGUUUUAGUAUUACCUACUGUGAAAUUGAAUGUCAGUAAACCGAUAAUUUUAAAGGUCAAAAAGUAACUUAAAAUAGUGUACAAUUUUCGUACUAACUUUCUAACAUUUAUGUACAACAAAAUAACUAUUCUUCAAGAUUAUUGAACUGAAAAAAAAAACAAAAAACGAAAUCAUCUUCAUGAAAUGCAGUCGAUUCAGCAGUUGCUGACAUUCCCGCCACCGAAUGCUGAAAUCAUCUAACGGUAAUAACAUAAUAUAGAUGACAAUGGUGAUGCAGUAUUAUUAGUUUUAAAUGAGCACCUCAAUAAAAUGUAACUGCUUAACUUUAAAAUGUAUUCAUUACAAAAUAUCAUCAUAAUCCUACAUGAACUUUAGUCAAAUCACUGAAUAUGUAUGUAGACAAAAUGCCAAAGACAAUUCAGUAUCCUACUAAUAUUCAGAGCUAAUUACCUGUAACCUCAAUAGAAUAAAUGAAUCUUUCACAAACAAAUGACUGACUAAGGCUGAAGAAGCAAGUUUCUCUGAAAUACCGUACACCUAUUUAUCCAGCCGUUCUGCGUGCAUAGCACGUUUAAUGUUACAGUGCCAAGAACUUAAUUUCUGAAGUACUGAAAGUAUAUAUCUUAAUUAGAAAUUGCUUAUUAAUUCUCGUGUUAGUGGGAUACAUUCCCUCUCGUCAGCACUAAAGACAUUUUUGAAUCUCAUCACUGUUGAAGAAGUACUAUAUUCAACACAUAACAGUGAUUUUGUUUUUUCAUUUAUUUUUUGUGUUUUACCAUUACACUACUAAAAAGUGGUCGUAAAAAUAUGUAAGUGCCUUGCAAAGAAUUCCUUGUAUGAUGAGAUGGAUCAUAGCUCUAAAUCAUUUCAUAGAGGCUGUACUACUAUGUAUGCAAGAAAAUUUCACUGCCAUUACAACAUUAAAAUUAAUUUGUCUCUAAGACCUUGAUAUUUACAGAUAUAAUUUAUUUGACAAGUAUUUAAAACUUAUAUGAGGCAAUCUGUAAUGUGUUUAAAUGUUUGUUUGUAUUUGAUAAGUAUGAAUCUUUUGUACGCCGUAAAAUGUGUCAACAGUAAUGUAUGUUUAUUGUGUAAUAAGAGAAUCGUAAGCAGAAGAAAAUAAUGAAUAUGUCCCUCCGAAAUGUUCUAACAGAUGUAUAUUUCUUACCGCUGUAGGAAUCAACUGAUGUUGCAUUUAGAAAGACACGUGUAAUGCAUGUAGAGUUAAAUUUUCAGGAAACAAAAUAAUAUUAAUAAAUUAAUAAAUAAAAAUAAAUUCAUUGAUUAACAA
Molecule: long non-coding RNA, 2384 nt
Organism: Schistocerca americana (American grasshopper)
Lineage: Eukaryota; Metazoa; Arthropoda; Insecta; Orthoptera; Acrididae
Exons: 2
Source: RefSeq, a predicted model, not a curated record